Molecule: long non-coding RNA, 4002 nt
Organism: Erinaceus europaeus (western European hedgehog)
Lineage: Eukaryota; Metazoa; Chordata; Mammalia; Eulipotyphla; Erinaceidae
Exons: 2
Source: RefSeq, a predicted model, not a curated record
CUGGACCAUCUCCGUCUCCUUGCCUGUUAUAUCACUCUUCUGGCCCUCCCUCUCUCCACCAGUUGGCUUUCUAUGUUUCCUCUUUUUUUUUUUUUUUAAUGAGGGACAGAGUAAGAGAGAGGUACAGUGAGUUUGCUUGGUUCUGGAUUAUGGCAGUGCAGGGGAUUGAACCAGGGAUUAUAGACCUUCAGGAAUGAACAUCCUUUACAGUCUCAUUAUGCUAUCUCCCCAUAUUCUCCUCAACCUUUCUCUUUCUAAAAAUAAUUUAUUUACUUAUUGGCUAUAGGCAUAGAGAUAGAGAGGAGAGGGGAAGAGAUAGAGAUAGACACCUGCAGCAUUGCUUCACUGAUCCUGAAGCUUGCCCCCUGCAGGCAGGGACUGGGAGCUUGAACCCAGGACAUUGAGCAUUGGAACAUGUGCACUCAACCAGAGCCACCUCCUCCUGGACACUCCCAGCUUCCUCUCUGUCUUGAAGUGCAUGCCACCUUCAAGAUAGUUCCCUCUGGCUUCUGCCUCCUCUUUCACCAUCCCCAAGUAUAUCCUGAGCCCACCUCAGUGCCUUCAACUCUCUGCCCACCAUAACCCCAUCCCAGAUAGAUGAUUGACUUACCUGAGGCAAAGCCCAGGAUAACCACAGCCAUCAGCCAGCAGAAUCGCAUCAAGUCACCAAAAAUCAUCUGGAGGAGGAAGAAUAUUUCCAGUGAUGCCUGGAGCCACUGCCCCUCCCAGCCUCUAGCAAGUCUGGGCCUCCUACAGCUGCACCCUCUAUAAAGAAUCCUGACAAAAGGCCGGGUCAGUCUUGGUGACCUCUGUGAGCUAAGAGUGGUCUCUAAGCAUCUAAAGCAUUGGAAGGAAAAGAUGAAGGAGAAGACGGUGGAGAGGAAUACCCCAGGGACCCAAUGUGCUUUGCCAAGUAAAACUCUCUUCUUUACUUCAUGGAAGUAUUUUCAGCAACCUUUAAGGUUUCUUUCCCUCCAGGCAAUGUGGGAAACUGGUGGGGAGGGGGGAGGCACGGACCUUCUGGAUCAUGAUGGUGAAGGGGCCCAGCAUCUGGAAUCCUCGGGCAAAGUACAUGACGUUGCACCAGCCCAGCACCAGGGCGAAGGACAUGGGUACCACCUCCCCAUCAGUGUUGGUGAGACGCAUCACCAUGGUCACCAAGACCAUGCAGGCGUAGGUGAUGCUGGGGAGAGAGCCAGAAGGGAGGAGGGUGAGAGGGGCUGUGGAGUCCUGGGGGACCUGGGAGUGAGAAUGUAACCCACAUGGUAUACCCACCCACAGACUCAUCUCAGUACACCAAGUCACACCCCAUCCUUGGCAGGGAAGAAAAUGAGAAAAGACUCACAUGAGGACAUGGAAUGGGCCCCCGAGGAUGGUGUGUCCAAAAAAGCGAGAGACGCCCACCCUGAAGAUAUCUGGAAUCUAGAGAGGUCAGGGAUACACAAGGAUGUUGGCAGGCACAUGCUCAGGCUAAAUCCAGGGGGUAGCCAGCCUCCCCCCUCCCAACGCCUGUCCAUACCCCACCUCCACAAACAGGAUGAUCAAGGCUCCCACCACUGACAUCAGCUCUCCCACCAGCCUCAGAUCAUCCUGGGGGGUCACGUAGGCUUCCUGGGAGGGGGAGAUGAGGGGAGACAUCAGAGCACUGAGGGGUUCCAUGUCCUGGGUAUCCGGUGUCCCCUGGGUUGUUACCAGCUUAACAGUGUGCCCUCAGCCUGCUGGGCUUGGGCUGGCUCAAACUCUUGCUCUUGGGGUGCACCCUAGUUUCUGUGGGAUGCAGGCUGAGUGUGCCAUGGUCUUGGAGAUGUGGGCUGGGUAGUAGGACAGGAACUCACAUCCCAAAGUGUUUGCCACCAGGAAUCUUGUUUUUAUACCAGCAAUGAGGGGAAUCAGGAAAACACCACAAGAAGCCUGGCACGGUUUCUCUUAUCUGAGGGAGAAGAGGAAAAAAGGAAAGACACCCAAAAAUAGCAACAGAUGUAGGAGUGACUUGGAAAGGAAGUGAAGGGUGGUCCAAAAGGUGGGGUAAUGGAUAAAGUAUUGGACUCUUAAGCAUGAAGUCCUGAGUUCAAUCCCUAGCAGCACAAGUGCCAGAGUGAUGUUGGUUCCUUCUCUCUCUUCCUAUAUUUCUCAUUAAUAAAAUCUUUUUAAAAAGAGAGAAAGAAAAAGGGAAAGAAAGAAAGUAAAGGCAGGACCAUUGAAAAAUACUCUAACUUGAAGAGCAUUCUCCAGUACCCUGGCAGUCCCCAAGAAUGGAGAAAUGUGGUUAGUUCUACCCUCCUGAUUCGAUUCUUUCUUCGAUGGGAAGACAUUUUUUAAAUGGGUGCUUGCAGCAAUCUUGCAGGAACAGUCAGAAGCACCCUAAAUGGAAUUUCGAGGAGCUUUUUGGACUAAGAUGCCCUCCAGGGACUCGUGAUGCUACAUGGUGAGAUCUGGAUAAUCUGGUUCGAGGUGAAAGAAGCAAAAGCUGCCUACGGCUUUUCUCUCGAUUCCCCCCUCGUUGUUCUCUUGGAAUAUCUUAAGUUUGCUGUCUGCUUUCAGUUGUGUUUCGUAAGAGAGUGAUUUGAAUGACUGAAUUUUUGUAUGACAUUAACUUAAAAAAAAAUUCUGGAUGCAGCCAUGAUUUCUAGAGACAUCCAGAAACAAUCCAAAAAACUGUUUUUUCCUCUUUUGAUUUUUUUUGAUAUAAAUCUGAAACAUUUAAUCCUGAAAACUGUAUGAGUUAUGGGCAGGGUAGAUAGUGCAAUGAUUAUGCUAAUGAUUCUCAUGCUUGAGGCUUCUAACCAUGGUUCUUCUGUUUACCUUUCCACAUUUUAUUGAGUUUAAAUUGUUAAAACAACCUUAAAAUCAUACUAGAAAGGACUUCCAAUUAUAAUGGAGUUAUCAAUUAUAGUAAACUUCUAAUCUGCUACAAGUUUUGUUUGACAAGUAAGUGAAUUACAGUUGUCAAGUCUUCAUAUGAAAAAGCAUCUGCUCAAAUGGAACCCCCGGAAAUCCAUUUGCACCCCUGUUCUCUGACAUUGCCUACAAGAUGGCACGACUACAGCAGCCCCACCCCCCCGCCAGAAACCAAUGAUGUGACCUGGAACGACCUGAAGAAACAGAUUCACAGACUGCAAAGCUCACUCUCUACAGAAAAGUAUAAUUACAGUGGUUGACCUUCCCCAUCUAGGCAGACAUGCAGCCUCUCAUCCCCUGGCAUUUCUUCUGUGGUCAUCUGCUUUGGACUGACACUUCUAUUGGACUUACUGGUACACCUCUUGGACACUUUACACAACUUUACAGUAGUUUCCCUUUAUGCUGCUGGGUUCUCAAAGACUGACAGCAGCAGUCCAUGGACUUUAUAGCCAUCUGCCUUGGGACUCUAUAGGCAACGGCCCCUCACCUACAGGCCCUGCCCCCAGAGGUAGGAAAACUCCCCUCCUUACUAAGUCCUGCCUACAGAGGCAGGAAAUGCCCUUUGAAGCAUGAAACACCCCAGAGGCAAGUGAUGCCCCCAGAGGCAGGAAGUGUCCUUUUGCCUGCUAAGCACUGCCCUUUGAGGCAGGAAACGCCCCUUCAGGCCUCCCCUUGGCAUCACACUGGUUCUUGCUGCUCUCUUACUUGUUCCUCCAUGUCUUGUGCCAAUUCUUUUGAAAAUGCCUGUAUGAUAUAGGUUUCUGUUCACCCCACACUCCUGAUACUAUGGCCAUUAGUUAAAAAGAAAGGGGGAAAUGUUGGUAUGCUUCUAAAUUCUGCUUCUAAGACCCCUCUGUUGCAUUGCUUGACGUUGUGGUCUAUUUACAUAAUCAUUGUUUUCACUGGUUUAAUCCCCACUGGUUCGUGCGCUAUUUUCCUUCUCCCCACCCCCUAUCCUAUGUAUUUCCUCUUCCUGACACUUCCGCCUCAGGAGACAUAAAAGACAGAGCUUUCUAAUGAAGAGAGAUUAGAAGAGAUUAGAUUGUUGGACUGCAUCCUUGCAUCCCAGCUCCUCAAUAAAGAUUGAACUGCAUUCUCAGCUCA